CCAGCCUCACGCUGCCUUUCCUGCUGCAGAGAGCACAGAGACAGUCAAAGAGACGGCUUCCGCCAAGACCAGCAAAACCACAAGCAGCAGCAGAAAGCACCCCCCUCCUCUUCCUCCCUGCGUCUCCAUGUCUCAGGAAGGGGUGGCCAUGGUCCUCCCUCCAGCCAGGCCGACCCCCACCCUGCUCCAGCCGUGCCACUCCAUUUCUGAGGAUGCUCAGAGGGUCCUCCGGAAAGUCUAACGACAUGAGAAUGUUUAACCCUCUCCUGCAACAGGGACACCACAGAGGAGGUCAGGAUUAAGAAAACAGUGGAUGCAUGGAUCAACGCCCUGAGUAAGGAUAUCCAGGUGAGUCGGUCAAAAGGUCACCUUGAGUCAUUUCAGUUGGUUUGUUCCAACUGUCGUUUUGUUUUGUCCUG
This 419-nucleotide long non-coding RNA is filed under the name Salmo trutta (river trout). Its description in RNAcentral is "lncRNA (ENSSTUG00000030490.1)". The record is from RNAcentral. Lineage: Eukaryota; Metazoa; Chordata; Actinopteri; Salmoniformes; Salmonidae.